Molecule: ribosomal RNA, 253 nt
Filed under: uncultured prokaryote
Description: partial 16S ribosomal RNA
Rfam family: Bacterial small subunit ribosomal RNA
Source: RNAcentral
UACGUAGGGGGCCAGCGUUGCUCGGAAUUACUGGGCGUAAAGGGUUCGUAGGUGGUGCGGCAAGUUGGGAGUGAAAUCUCUGGGCUUAACUCAGAGGCUGCUUUCAAAACUGCCGUGCUCGAGUGCGAGAGAGGCCAGUGGAAUUGCAGGUGUAGCGGUGAAAUGCGUAGAUAUCUGCAGGAACACCCGUGGCGAAAGCGGCGCACUGGACCAUAACUGACGCUGAGGCGCGAAAGCUAGGGGAGCAAACAGG